Cinara cedri is the source of this 325-nucleotide non-coding RNA. The record is from the annotation of a GenBank genome assembly. NCBI's taxonomy places the organism in Eukaryota, Metazoa, Arthropoda, Insecta, Hemiptera, Aphididae.
GUCUGACAACUGAAGCCAUUAAAUUAUAAUUAGUUGAUAAUUAAUUGAUUUUACCAGUAAGAUUUUUCUUCCCUAUCGUCCAUGCAAAUUUCAGUCGACUCCAAAAGGUUUUUGUAAUAGACGGCACUUUCGUUGUUGGAUUCUGUAUUUCUUCUAUUAAUCGUCUUUGUAGAUGCGAAUAUCCCAUAUACAAAACGAAACAUGUGAAUAUUAUUAUUAUACAACUGUAAACAUUUAAAUCGAUCAUUUUAUUUUCAAAAUUAAAUUACAAUUUAGACGUUUUUAUGAAAAAAAAAUAUUUGUGUAAAUAAAUUUAGGAGUAAAA